GCCGGAUUGGGGGCAAGGGAGGGGGAGCACAGCAGCCGCUGGGGGUAGAAUUCUCCCCGGAGCGUUCCACAGCCGUGGUUGAGCAGCGAGGAGAGUAGUAAAGCGCCUUGUGAGCUUUGCCCUGGGGAGCGGAGAGGAUGCUAUAGUGACGGGGAUAGAGCACUACUUGUAGAAGAAGAAUGCCUUGGUUGACAAAGCAAAAGAACCUGUACAGUCUGUGCAAGAGGAAGCCAUAUGUGUGGCUGUGGCACAUAAUUCAUGGACAUGCUGUUUUCUGUCUACAUAAGUGAUCCUCAGACUUUUCCAUAUUGGGACACCUUAGUUCCAGACCAGAACUAAGAUCCUUCUCACUUGACCAGAUGCCCAUGUGACAGACUGACAAUAUCCCCUACUAUACUUAACAACGUUAUGGAAAGAAGGUUUGAUGGGAGCCCUUGGGAAUCUACAUGUAAGCAAUACUCAUGUCUUCAUUCUGCUGCCAGCUUCUCUCAGCCUCCCCCUCCGCUAUAAAUCAACACAGGGAGAGAAAUAAACGAAGAAUGGGGAAAAUACCUCCUGGGAAACUGACUUUGUGAAGCAAGGUCUGCCAAUGAAUAACCUGGCCUUGUGCAUAUAACUUUAGAAUUAGUAUCUGCCAGGAUUCUACACAGUGUCCCUGUUCUGUUUUUAUAAGCAUCUGAUUGCACGGAACACAAGCUUUUAUAUCUUUUUCUAGGCCACAUUUCUAUUUUGUAAUAUGUUUCAAAUCGAAGGGAAAAAGCAAUCUCACACAAUCAAGCUAGAGCUGCCAUUAGAUGAUUCAUUCUCUUUCAAAGAGAAUUACUGGUCAAAGCCACCCAAAAACAACCUCAGGAUGAUCUUGCAAUUUUGCAGGGAGGAUAUGCCCAAAAAGAGUUAAGUAGGCCUGCAACAUUAGUCAGCAACACCUGUUUUACUGUGUACAUAUUCAGUUCUCUAUUACCACUGCCCAUAAACCCACUCUUUUUCCUCCUCUUUAAGAAGUUAUACGAGUUUGGUACAGUAAGACCAAACAAGUGCAUUCCAAGAGUUGAACACUUUAGUAUACUUAAUGGGUACUUACUCCCAUUAUAAAUUAUGUAUACUGUAUGAAAACAUAGGGCAUUCUUCUCUCACUUACUCUAGUGUAAAUCAGGAGUAACUGUGUGGAAGUCAGUGGAGUUACACAAACAUACGUGAGAGAAGAAUCUACCCCAGUGUAGCUACCAGAGUUGCCGCAUCUAAUGAUUUAUUGUGAGUCACCUGAUGUUUGAUUUUUUUUUAGCUUAUGGGGCCAUGUUAUUGUGUGAAAAUAUCAGCUUUCAUUUACUAUUUAAAAAAUUAAGUCUUCAGGGAAAAGCUUGAAUAUGCAAACACUUGACUCAAAAAAACAGAAGAACCCCGGAUUUUAUAUUGUUUAAAAUCUCAUUAGUUUGAAGCCAAUUGCAUGAUUUUGGGGGGGGCAUGAGUUAAGGUACUUGAACACUUGGGGUUGCAACACUGAGCUUCCCUUCAAUAAGGCAGGUGUAAGUGAUAGGUAAGACAGACCAAUAAGGAACACACAUGCACAGAACAUAAUGCAUUAGUCUGUUGUCCAGACUGGUUGCCCUCUAACUAGUAUCUGAAAUUCUAUAUGAUGAAUUUUGUGUCUAUUGAUCCUCAGCAAUAUGCCAGUGUCAAUACGUCUGCUUGUAGUAACGCGACGUGUUGUGAGCCAUAUUACUGAAAAGAUGAAUUGGUCACAGAGAACUUGAUGAAGGCUGGAAAGAUUGAGGGAACAGAUAACGUUUGCAGCCGAGAAGCUGUAAGAGAUGGAAAAUUUUACGUAUUUGGGCAGCUGAGCACAACAGAUGGCAAGAGCUUAGGGGAAAUAAACGCAAAGUUUGGGAAAGCAAGCAGUGUGGUCCAGCCAUGGUCACUGAGCUCCUGCAGUAGGAAAAAAAAUCAGUCAAACAUUAAAUAGAAGCUGGACUGCACCAGUGUUUUGUCAACAAGUUCAUACCAAACAGGCACUUGGCAGACAGAAAAGAUUGGACAGAGGAGGUUGAUGGGUUUCAAGGGCCAGCAUCUGAAAAAUAAUGGACAGGCUCAGAUGGUAUGACUACUUUAGCAACCAGGAGAUUUGAACAGAGAUCCACCAAUUAUGGGUCAAAGCGCAUUCAGCUAGAAAACUCGGCUGUGUAUCUGACAGGCCUUUUGUUUCAGGCUAGCAAGACAUACGAUUGUCUGCUGAGCAAUGAAAAGGUGAAGAAAAGUUGAUUAUAUUUAUGUGAAGGGGGCAAAUGUUACAAUCCAAUUUACCAGUUAAAGUGGUUUAUUAAAUCUUGUGAUUCAAUGAAUAAAUCCAGGUUCAUAGCUGGUAUAAAUUCAUAUAGUUCCAUUGACUUCAAUUAAUCUACGCUGAUUUACUCCAGAUGAGGACUAGCAGGAAUACUUUACAAAAUAUCUUGGGGUUCAUCCUGCAUUUGUGCCUUCCCAAAAUUCACAUCUCUGGGAAUUUUGGGUGGGUAAGAAAGGUAGGAUCUGGACUAUUACAUCAAAGCAACUAAUGAAGUUAUCAGAGAUAUGAGAAUUCACAUUUUUGUGAUAACCAGAGCUAUCUAUCAUGCUGAUCAAAUUCCACUGCUAAAUUCCCAUUGCAGUUCCAUUCAUACAUGGUGUCCUUCUACAGUCUCUUAAACUAUUGUGGAAAGUGUAAAUUCUGUGUAGUGCUAUUGUGUGCAGUCAUAGUCCAUACACAGAUGGCUGUAUGUAUGUGGUGGAUGACUUGAUUAUAUAGAAAGUAUACAUGAUUGUGUGGUGUACUCUAAAGCUUUUAUCAAUAUGAAAUGGAGACAGUCCAAUUAUUCACAAGCUGUGAAGCCACAACUGAGUUAUGCAAGAUCUGAAAUGAGUGCCAACACAAUCAUUAUAACAUUCUCCAUACCGUCAUAGGUAAGUGACAAAUGCACAAUAGAGUGGAAAAAAAUGUAGGUACAUAACAAACGAUAUUGGUACUUUGGGUUUUUUUUGUAUCUCUCUGCUUACAGAGCCUAAGCCACCAAAGUGCAGAGUGACCUUUAAAUCUUUUCAACAUCAGUGGAAGCAGACUAGAGGAAUCUAGAGCACUGAAUGGCAUGUGAGAAAGCAAUGAUUUAAAAAUGAUAAUGUACUUAUAACUGUACUAUUUUUCUGAUUAUCUCCUUGACAUCUAUUGCUACACACCCAAUCCCAAUUAUUUAUUCUUUGGCUCAGAUAAGCUUCUGAACUGAGAGGACUGGGUGAUCUAGUGUUCUGAGCAUGAGAGUGGAAUGUAGGAAUUCCUAAUUUUAAUGUACACUCUGACACUGACUGCCUUUAUGGGUUCAGGAAAGUCCCUACAUCUGUUAGAUGGGAUCAAUGAUACAUAAGAAUGACCAUACCGGGUCAGACCAAAGAUCUACCUAGCCCAGUAUUCUGUCUUCUGAUAGUGGCCAAUGCCAGGUGCUUCAGCAGAAAUGAAUAGAGCAAGUAAUCAUC
Molecule: long non-coding RNA, 3495 nt
Organism: Chelonia mydas (Green sea turtle)
Lineage: Eukaryota; Metazoa; Chordata; Testudines; Cheloniidae
Exons: 4
Source: RefSeq, a predicted model, not a curated record